Molecule: long non-coding RNA, 1023 nt
Organism: Hemicordylus capensis (graceful crag lizard)
Lineage: Eukaryota; Metazoa; Chordata; Lepidosauria; Squamata; Cordylidae
Exons: 3
Source: RefSeq, a predicted model, not a curated record
GGACAUCAGCCACUUGCCUACAGGGGAGCAAGGAUGGAUGAGGUGUUGGACUUGGGCCCCAAAGGCCUGCAUACAAUUCCUGUCUUGAAGUUCACUGCACAACUUUGGGAGAGUCGGCCUAAUCUGCCCCACUUGGUGGCUAUUCCCCCACUCCCGCGUCUGCCCCAUGCCAGAAAGUUGGGGUAGCUGCGUCUUCACCAAACUGGUCUUAGGUAUCGGGGAAAGCAAUGUCUCUUUCAAGAUGUGAGGAGGAUGGAAAGGAGUCAGGCAUUCUGGGGCUGAUGACAACGAUCAGGAAUUUACUGAACAAUUUGCAGGAAAGAAACAAAGAAGGAUGUUCUGCUCUUGAGUGGUACCUACACUUUGGCCACCACAGCAUCCCUAUCUGGGCACUGCCGAAAUAUGAUCCAGAUGUUCACAGCAUAUGUGGAAGAGGAGUGAUCUGGAUCAGGACCACACAAGUUGGGGAAGGAGGAACUUUCACUGGAAUCCAUGGACAUUUUCUGGCAUAAACAGCAUGGGCUGGAGGGGUGUAAUCUGGAUCAGGACUGCAUCUUGGGUGGUAAGAGUUAAAGCCUCUGCCUAGUCACAGGCCCAAUCCAGAUUGUGCACACUACACCAAAAACAGUAUGCGUACAAGACUAGAGAUGUGACUAAUGCCAUGGGAAGAUUGGCCCCAAGCUGCAGAACACACGAUGUCUCUUUUUUCCAUGGCUUUCACCUGCAACACCACUGGACUUUCAGACCCUUCCCCUCACUUCUCCUGCUUAAGCAGCGCUUGAAGGGCCCUCCAUUAACACAGGCUCUCUCAUUUGGCACCCUUGUCCCUUCCCUCUUGUGUCCUGCUCCCUUUCUUAUCAGACCAGAAACAAUAAAACUGUGCCAAUGGUGGGGAGGGGGAGAGGAAAACAUCCUGCUCCCUGUGGGGGCAUUUUUACACUCUUUUCAUUAGAGGGAGGGUAUCUUUCUUUACUGGGGUGUUGUUGUUGUUUUUGGUAAACAUCAACAAUAAAUUUGAUUUCU